Molecule: non-coding RNA, 223 nt
Organism: Salvelinus sp. IW2-2015
Lineage: Eukaryota; Metazoa; Chordata; Actinopteri; Salmoniformes; Salmonidae
Source: RefSeq, a predicted model, not a curated record
UGUGACGAGGGUAUGAACAGAGGGUUAUUGUGACAGGGGUAUGAACAGAGGGUUAUUGUGACAGGGGUAUGAACGGAGGGUUAUUGUGACAGGGGUAUGAACAGAGGGUUAUUGUGACAGGGGUAUGAACAGAGGGUUAUUGUGACGGGUAUGAACAGAGGGUUAUUGUGACAGGGGUAUGAACAGGAGGUUUAUUGUGGACAGGGGUAUGCACAGAAGGUUA